RNAcentral lists this ribosomal RNA (253 nucleotides) under uncultured bacterium. RNAcentral describes it as "partial 16S ribosomal RNA". It matches the Rfam family "Bacterial small subunit ribosomal RNA", at positions 524 to 776 of the family's 1533-position model. The record is from RNAcentral.
UACGGAGGGGGCUAGCGUUGUUCGGAAUUACUGGGCGUAAAGCGCGCGUAGGCGGCUUUGUAAGUCAGAGGUGAAAUCCUGGGGCUCAACUCCGGAACUGCCUUUGAAACUGCAUCGCUUGAAUGUCGGAGAGGUGAGUGGAAUUCCGAGUGUAGAGGUGAAAUUCGUAGAUAUUCGGAAGAACACCAGUGGCGAAGGCGGCUCACUGGACGACUAUUGACGCUGAGGUGCGAAAGCGUGGGGAGCAAACAGG